RNAcentral lists this ribosomal RNA (903 nucleotides) under uncultured bacterium. Its description in RNAcentral is "bacterial SSU rRNA". It matches the Rfam family "Bacterial small subunit ribosomal RNA", at positions 31 to 914 of the family's 1533-position model. The record is from RNAcentral.
AAACGCUGGCGGCGUUGCCUAAAACAUGCAAAGUCGGCGAACAGAUGAGGAGCUUGCUCCUUUGACGUUAGCGGCGGAAAAAAGAGUAAAACGUGGGUAACCUACCUAUAAGACUGGGAUAACUUCUGGAAACCGGAGCUAAUACCGGAUAAUAUUUCGAACCGCAUGGUUCGAUAGUGAAAGAUGGUUUUGCUAUCACUUAUCCCUGGACCCGCGCCGUAUUAGCUAGUUGGUAAGGUAACGGCUUACCAAGGCGACGAUACGUAGCCGACCUGAGAGGGUGAUCGGCCACACUGGAACUGAGACACGGUCCAGACUCCUACGGGAGGCAGCAGUAGGGAAUCUUCCGCAUUGGGCGAAAGCCUGACGGAGCUACGCCGCGUGAGUGAUGAAGGUCUUCGGAUCGUAAAACUCUGUUAUUAGGGAAGAACAUACGUGUAAGUAACUAUGCACGUCUUGACGGUACCUAAUCAGAAAGCCACGGCUAACUACGUGCCAGCAGCCGCGGUAAUACGUAGGUGGCAAGCGUUAUCCGGAAUUAUUGGGCGUAAAGCGCGCGUAGGCGGUUUUUUAAGUCUGAUGUGAAAGCCCACGGCUCAACCGUGGAGGGUCAUUGGAAACUGGAAAACUUGAGUGCAGAAGAGGAAAGUGGAAUUCCAUGUGUAGCGGUGAAAUGCGCAGAGAUAUGGAGGAACACCAGUGGCGAAGGCGACUUUCUGGUCUGUAACUGACGCUGAUGUGCGAAAGCGUGGGGAUCAAACAGGAUUAGAUACCCUGGUAGUCCACGCCGUAAACGAUGAGUGCUAAGUGUUAGGGGGUUUCCGCCCCUUAGUGCUGCAGCUAACGCAUUAAGCACUCCGCCUGGGGAGUACGACCGCAAGGUUGAAACUCUAAGGAUUUGAC